AGUGAACGCUGGCGGUAGGCCUAACACAUGCAAGUCGAACGGCAGCACAGUAAGAGCUUGCUCUUACGGGUGGCGAGUGGCGGACGGGUGAGGAAUACAUCGGAAUCUACUUUUUCGUGGGGGAUAACGUAGGGAAACUUACGCUAAUACCGCAUACGACCUACGGGUGAAAGCAGGGGAUCUUCGGACCUUGCGCGAUUGAAUGAGCCGAUGUCGGAUUAGCUAGUUGGCGGGGUAAAGGCCCACCAAGGCGACGAUCCGUAGCUGGUCUGAGAGGAUGAUCGGCCACACUGGAACUGAGACACGGUCCAGACUCCUACGGGAGGCAGCAGUGGGGAAUCUUGGACAAUGGGCGCAAGCCUGAUCCAGCCAUACCGCGUGGGUGAAGAAGGCCUUCGGGUUGUAAAGCCCUUUUGUUGGGAAAGAAAAGCAGCAGGUUAAUACCCCGCUGUUCUGACGGUACCCAAAGAAUAAGCACCGGCUAACUUCGUG
RNAcentral lists this ribosomal RNA (492 nucleotides) under uncultured bacterium. RNAcentral describes it as "partial 16S ribosomal RNA". It matches the Rfam family "Bacterial small subunit ribosomal RNA", at positions 29 to 507 of the family's 1533-position model. The record is from RNAcentral.